This 404-nucleotide ribosomal RNA is filed under the name uncultured bacterium. Its description in RNAcentral is "bacterial SSU rRNA". It matches the Rfam family "Bacterial small subunit ribosomal RNA", at positions 355 to 776 of the family's 1533-position model. The record is from RNAcentral.
UGGGGAAUAUUGGACAAUGGGCGAAAGCCUGAUCCAGCGAUGCCGCGUGAGUGAAGAAGGCCCUAGGGUUGUAAAGCUCUUUCGGUGGGGAAGAUAAUGACGGUACCCACAAAAGAAGCCCCGGCUAACUCCGUGCCAGCAGCCGCGGUAAUACGGAGGGGGCUAGCGUUACUCGGAAUUACUGGGCGUAAAGCGAGCGUAGGCGGUUAACCAAGUUGGGGGUGAAAGCCCGGGGCUCAACCCCGGAAAUGCCCUCAAAACUAGUUAGCUAGAGGACGGGAGAGGGGAGUGGAACUCCCAGUGUAGAGGUGAAAUUCGUAGAUAUUGGGAAGAACACCAGUGGCGAAGGCGACUCUCUGGACCGUUUCUGACGCUAAGGCUCGAAAGCGUGGGUAGCAAACAGG